CUCGGAUGGAGGCUGGAAGAGUGGCGUGUGGCGCCAAGGGACGCAGCUCGUUUCAGCGAUGAGACUGGGAAAUGCAGCUGAUUCUCAUAAUUAGAGAGCUACAAAAUUUUAUGAGCCAUGGUGAUUCCAGAGCCAGGUGCAAGUGCCUCUUUGUGGGGCCACCCUGCCUUGGAGCCAGC
Chinchilla lanigera (long-tailed chinchilla) is the source of this 179-nucleotide long non-coding RNA. RefSeq lists it as uncharacterized. The transcript is spliced from 3 exons. The record is from RefSeq and is a predicted model, not a curated record. Lineage: Eukaryota; Metazoa; Chordata; Mammalia; Rodentia; Chinchillidae.